GGAAGGAUGGUCUAAUGGACCAGGCACUGGAAUGGGAAUCAAGAGAACUGGGUUCAAUUCCCAGUUCUACCA
Molecule: transfer RNA, 72 nt
Filed under: Chelonia mydas (Green sea turtle)
Lineage: Eukaryota; Metazoa; Chordata; Testudines; Cheloniidae
Rfam family: tRNA
About the family: Transfer RNA (tRNA) molecules are approximately 80 nucleotides in length. Their secondary structure includes four short double-helical elements and three loops (D, anti-codon, and T loops).
Source: Rfam by way of RNAcentral